RNAcentral lists this ribosomal RNA (292 nucleotides) under uncultured bacterium. Its description in RNAcentral is "partial 16S ribosomal RNA". It matches the Rfam family "Bacterial small subunit ribosomal RNA", at positions 505 to 796 of the family's 1533-position model. The record is from RNAcentral.
GUGUCAGCCGCCGCGGUAAUACGGGGGGGGCAAGCGUUGUUCGGAAUUACUGGGCGUAAAGGGCUCGUAGGCGGCCGACUAAGUCAGACGUGAAAUCCCUCGGCUCAACCGGGGAACUGCGUCUGAUACUGAUUGGCUUGAGUUCGGGAGAGGGAUGCGGAAUUCCAGGUGUAGCGGUGAAAUGCGUAGAUAUCUGGAGGAACACCGGUGGCGAAGGCGGCAUCCUGGACCGACACUGACGCUGAGGAGCGAAAGCCAGGGGAGCAAACGGGAUUAGAUACCCCUGUAGUCC